AAGAGGCAUUUGCAGACACUUGUGACAUCACAGGAGAAGCUAGGGCUCUCCAGGAUACAAGAGAUUUUUCAUGGAGGGCCUAAUGAUGAAUGUCUCUGAGAACUGCCAUGGCCUACCUGUAAACAGCUUUCUUUACAUUGACCAGUUUCAAGAGUGCCUUUCCAGGUCUCCAGUAUUUCCAAUUCUCCUCCAAAUGUGUUGGAGAAGACCCCUCUGAUCGAGGGGAGGUACAACAAGCCCCAUCAAACAAAAUGGUCUGCACAUCUUCUUCUCUUAAAGGUAAUCUCAAUGAUUUCCAUAUUCCACAAAUGGAUUAAGUCCUGCCCACUCUCUGCAUGAGACUUUAAUACCUUCGCCAACUGCCAAAACUUGGCAGAGAGCUUUGUCCACUCACAAAGACACUCAAAGAUGUCCCCCAUCUCCACCAAAGUGCCUUUUGCAAUCUGCUUCGGGUUAAAUGAGUUGAAAACUGAUUCUGCUGACAACGGGGAUUUCUGAAAUCACUAUUAAUCCAAGAGGAACUUCAAAGACCUCUACUAUUAAAAAAGGACUUAAAUCAUCACUUAUGAUCCAAGGGGGGCAAAAUACAGUCACAAAUCCUCAAGUCAACCUCAUAACACACAUAACAGAAGAGGAGUGACAAAACUUUCUGCAUGUACACCAUUAGAUCAAGAAUGACUGCCAGUUUUUGAAGGGGCUCUUGAGAGUUUCACACCCACACAAGAUAUGUUAGAAAAUUGUGAGUCCACCUAAGGAACUCUUGUGACUUCUUCACAUAAAAAAUAUGAUCUAGCACCCUCACCAUCACCCCCAGUACUUCCAAUGUCCCUAUAAAACAGAGAAAUAUUCAAAUAUCCUCUACCACCAAAAAGGACCCUCCUGACUUGUCAUCAGGCCCAAAAAAGACAAGUUUAUCGUAACACAUUGUCAAUGAGUCAUGCAGACUCCAUAUCGAUACAAUGUACAGAGAAGAUAAAACAUACCCUUCCUCCUCAGGGGACUCUAUGUCAUUCUGUCCUGAAAAGAGGGGCUCCAAAAUUUUCCACAUGUACAUCAGAGAUGCUAGAAUUUCCCAAAACUGAGCAUGAUUCUCUGAGUAGUACUCUAUCUCAAAAAGAGACUGCAGGACAAGAAACAUCUACAAAAGGAAUUCUACCCACGGCCACAUAUUUAGAAAUGGCUUGUGGACACAACACGUGUACAAAAGAUGUUCUAGGACAUAUUGCAUAUGUAGAGAAGGUUAUGGAUCCAACCAUAUAUGAACGAGGAGUAGGGGAACAUGAUAUGCAAACACCAGUGUCUGUAGCAUCCUUGACAUCUGAGGAAAGGGAUUCCUUGGAUUCCAUUUGUGGAAAGAAUGGAUAUGACCUCCGCAAACUUCACAGAUGACUAUAGGAACUUCUUAAUCUCCUCAAGAUCAGCCAUCUUCCCCAACUACAGAAGAUGCUACACACUCUUCCAAAUAUGCACAAAGGGUUUCCAGUCCUUCUUUAUACCCACAAACUGACCCAGAACACCUGCCAAAUACCUAAAAGCCUUUCAAUUUUACCUUAUCUCCUGAAGGGGCCUUGGAACCUGUUUUGCCUAUCAAGCAGGGUAGGGAACCUGACACUUCAAUACUUCAAUAUGAAAGUCUCUUUCCAUUUUUCCUGCAGAGGGAAUUUUUCUUGGAACUUACACAGUUACACAACGAUGUCUAGAAGCUCCUUAUCUGCUCAUGAGAGUCUCAGACCUCUCACAUAUGCCCCUGUUUCUCUAGGAGAGGUCACAUCUCAGAGGUAGCUCUAAUACCUUCCCCCCCCAUUCUGACAUCACACUCAGGAUUUCCACAUAUAUACACGAUACAUUAAGACCUUCCUCAUGUGAGAAGGAUGUCGUAGGAUCUACUGCAUCUGAACAGCAUGCUUUACAACUAUCCCCAUCUACCCAAUUAGAUUUAUUUCACAUGUCCACUCUGUGGAGAAAUACUUGACAUUCUCCGUAUACCAAAUUGGACCACAGGCAUCGAGUUUCUAGAAACAAAGGGUUAAGAUUUUAUCCUUUUGAUGGAGUCUUUAGAAAUUUCUCCUCUAAGGGAGACAGUUUCAACCUUCCCCCUUCUGCCAAAAGGGAUCUUGUGCCAUCUUCUGCUGCCGAAGAGUCACUAAAAGCUACAACUACUACUCAGGUGAGUCUCACACCUUCUCCAUCUGCCCAAAGGGACAUGGAAUUUUCAAAAAAGACUAAGGAAUUGUGGAAAGUUGCCAAUCCUUACAAGGGCAUGCCGGACAUUCCAUAUUGUCCCAAGAUGCUCAAGUAACUCUUCCUUCAACUGAAAAGGCAUGUUCACCAUCUGCCCUAGGUUUCAGGGAAUUUCUUCACCCCUCUCUAGUGCUCCAGAAAGUGUUCUCCAUGCUCAAAGUGAUUUGUCACUGUGCAAAUUAGACUUCAAAGAUACAAAACCUUUUUUUUUAUAUUUACAAAGGUCUGAAGGGCAGUCCACAUCGAAAAAAAAUCAUGUAGACCUUGUGCCAUUAGCCCAAGUAUAUAAAAAAAUUUUCCAUGUCUUCUAAAGCAUCUUAACAUCAACCUGGCUCUAGCACUCAUUCUGGGAAACAUUUACCAUCAGCCAUACAAUCCCCAGGACCAUCAAAAUCUAAUAAGGGGUAUCUAGAAACUUUGCCAUCUGGCAAAAGGUCUUUAGGAUGUUCAGCAUCUUCUCCAUGAGCUUGGUGAACCCAUAGAACAAAAGAAUUAAACCAUCUUCCCAGGGUGUUUUCCCAAGAUCCACAUAUUUCUUGUUUACUUUUAUACCAAGAUAGAAGGCCAGCUUCCUUCUCCCCAUCUCUGAUAUCUUCAUCCUCUUUGUUCUCCUCCCAAAUGGCUGUUUACUCUGAACAGAAGGCUAAUUGGUAAAUCCUAGAGGUACUGAAGGAAUUUCCGAGGUGCAGUUGAAGACACGACAAUACUUGUGACAUCACAGAAGAAGCUAGGGCUCUCCAGGAUGUAAGAGAUUUUUCAGGGAGGGCCUAAUGAUGAUAUCACUGAGAAUUGCCAUGGACUACCUGCUGAACUGCUUUACUAACAUUGAGUAGAUUCAAGGGUGCACUUCACAGGAGUGUCUCCUGUGACACAGUGGAAAACUUUACAUACUUGAUCUCUAAAGCUAGGGAAUUCUCUUGGCUUCCUUAAUGAUUACAUGCUCUGAAUGGUGAAAGAUAGCUAGGGACUUGGCAUGGGUAGAAAAGAUUUAGGAACCUAGAGUGGAGGAAAUUAAUGUGGAUAAUAAUUUUAUUCCCAGGUCUAGUUCAAUUUUCUCAGAUUUAUCUGUUUCCCAAACACUAGGAUUUUCCCUAUAGUCCUGUAAUGGAAUGAAUAUUAUAUUAUAUUUUCUUAUUGUACAUUCCACGAUAGGGGACUUUAUAAUAUUCCUGAAUGUGUACUCAAAAAUUCUUUUUUCCAAUUCCAUUUCUGCAAUGAUUUUUGGCAACAGAGGUGGCCCAAUUAUAGAAUGAGCAUAACAGUGUAAAUGCUGUAUACAUACUUCAAUGACACACUCCCAAAUCCUUAUUUUAUCCAAAAAUUACCAGAUAUUAAUAAAGGAAAGUACCACAUGGACUAUUUAAUUCGUUUCUCUAGUCCCACUUGAUAUCAGUUCCGCAAUAUCUACUUUCCUGUGUUUCAUUGCCAUACUUGAGGGUUUUGGAUAUUUUACCAUGAUUCAUUAUUAAAGUCAAACAUAAGAUAUAGGAGGAUGGAAAGUGAGAGGAAUGACUUGAGAACCAGUGAAGCCUCAAUAUAAGUAGUUUCAAAAGAACAAGAUGGAGUCUAAUUGGUGUUGCCAUUUGUGGAUUCUACAGUCUUGACCUAGAUGCGCAGAAUUCAUGUUAAAAUUCCUGCUAAAAUUAUAGCUGUAGGAGCCAACAAAAGUACAUAUAUAUACAUCAGCCACCGAAACUACACAAGAUUGAUGGAGGUAAGAAAUGCAUUCUGUCAGAUAUAGAUAUUUCCUGAGAGACACAGCUAGAUUAUACAAAUACAGAAGUGAAUGCUAGUGGCAUACCAGUAAACUGGAAAUGGACUUCUUGUUUUUAGAUUUUAAAAAAAGAUUACAAGAGCUGAAGGGCUUUAACACUACAAGAACAACAAUGCCAAUGAACCAGAGCUUUCUGAUACUAGAACAAUAUUCAAAGAAUGUACAUGGACAGAGUUAUGGCUCCAACUGCAUAUGUGGAAGAGAAUAGACUUGGUGGGCACCAAUGGAAGGAGAAGUCCUUGGUCCUCCCUAGGUUUGACUCCAAGUUCAAGGACCUUUUCUUCUUGCGAAAAAGUGUAAAGGUCAUGAGUUCUCAGGAAAACAACUGUGCCCUUCACAACACUUGGCUUUUGGAAUAAAGAAAUAAAUGAUAUAAACCCUUUGACUUCCAGGAACCAUAAGAACAGGGAAGUCUACAAGCUUCUAAGAGCCUCACAGUUCCUUAUUCCCUUAUAUAGAAGCUCAGAUCAAGGCUAUCUCUUCAGCCAUCCCACUCAACCCCUACCAAGGGCUCUCUGAGUUUUCCAAAGGACCACAUAUUUCUUCCUUGUUUUUUUAUACCAAGAUAGAAGGCCAGCAUCCUUCUACCCAUUUCCAAUCUCUUCAUCCUCUUUAUUAUCACUCCCCAAUUUCUCUGAAUUAAAUGUCAAGCAGUAACCACUUUCAAAGUAUGUCUCCUGUGACACAGUGGAAACCUUUAUGUACUCCAUCUGUCUAAUUCUAGAGAUUUCUCUCUGCUUCACUAGUGGUUUCAUGUUCUGAAUGGAGAAACUUGUUCAGGGGCUUGGCAUGGGUAAUAAAGAUGUAGGAACAUGGA
Molecule: non-coding RNA, 4832 nt
Organism: Rattus norvegicus (Norway rat)
Lineage: Eukaryota; Metazoa; Chordata; Mammalia; Rodentia; Muridae
Source: RefSeq, a predicted model, not a curated record